ACGAUCCUUAGCUGGUCUGAGAGGAUGAUCAGCCACACUGGGACUGAGACACGGCCCAGACUCCUACGGGAGGCAGCAGUGGGGAAUAUUGGACAAUGGGCGCAAGCCUGAUCCAGCAAUGCCGCGUGAGUGAUGAAGGCCUUAGGGUUGUAAAGCUCUUUUACCCGUGAUGAUAAUGACAGUAGCGGGAGAAUAAGCCCCGGCUAACUCCGUGCCAGCAGCCGCGGUAAUACGGAGGGGGCUAGCGUUGUUCGGAAUUACUGGGCGUAAAGCGCACGUAGGCGGCUUUGUAAGUUAGAGGUGAAAGCCUGGAGCUCAACUCCAGAACUGCCUUUAAGACUGCAUCGCUUGAAUCCAGGAGAGGUGAGUGGAAUUCCGAGUGUAGAGGU
RNAcentral lists this ribosomal RNA (389 nucleotides) under Sphingomonas panni. Its description in RNAcentral is "bacterial SSU rRNA". It matches the Rfam family "Bacterial small subunit ribosomal RNA", at positions 276 to 682 of the family's 1533-position model. The record is from RNAcentral. Lineage: Bacteria; Pseudomonadati; Pseudomonadota; Alphaproteobacteria; Sphingomonadales; Sphingomonadaceae.